This 72-nucleotide transfer RNA is filed under the name Camelus bactrianus (Bactrian camel). It matches the Rfam family "tRNA". From Rfam's summary of the family: Transfer RNA (tRNA) molecules are approximately 80 nucleotides in length. Lineage: Eukaryota; Metazoa; Chordata; Mammalia; Artiodactyla; Camelidae. The record is from Rfam by way of RNAcentral. RNAcentral also lists the same sequence under 2 other names.
GUGGGCAUAGCUCAGUGGUAGAGUGCAUGCUUAGCACGCAUGAGGUCCUAGGGUCAAUCCCCAGUACCUCUG